GACGAACGCUGGCGGCGUGCUUAACACAUGCAAGUCGAGCGGAAAGGCCACUUCGGUGGUACUCGAGCGGCGAACGGGUGAGGAACACGUGAGUAAUCUGCCCUUCACUCUGGGAUAGCCACCGGAAACGGUGAUUAAUACCGGAUACGAACAACCCACGCAUGUGGUGGUGGGUGAAACUUUUUGGGUGGGGGAUGUGCUCGCGGCCUAUCGGCUUGUUGGUGGGGUAAUGGCCUACCAAGGCUUCGACGGGUAGCCGGCCUGGGAGGGUGGCCGGCCACACUGGGACUGAGACACGGCCCAGACUCCUACGGGAGGCAGCAGUGGGGAAUAUUGGACAAUGGGCGGAAGCCUGAUCCAGCAACGCCGCGUGAGGGAUGACGGCCUUCGGGUUGUAAACCUCUUUCAGCACCGACGAAGCGCAAGUGACGGUAGGUGCAGAAGAAGGACCGGCCAACUACGUGCCAGCAGCCGCCGUAA
RNAcentral lists this ribosomal RNA (480 nucleotides) under uncultured bacterium. RNAcentral describes it as "partial 16S ribosomal RNA". It matches the Rfam family "Bacterial small subunit ribosomal RNA", at positions 28 to 523 of the family's 1533-position model. The record is from RNAcentral.